This 465-nucleotide ribosomal RNA is filed under the name uncultured bacterium. RNAcentral's name for it is "partial 16S ribosomal RNA". It matches the Rfam family "Bacterial small subunit ribosomal RNA", at positions 355 to 812 of the family's 1533-position model. The record is from RNAcentral.
UAGGGAAUCUUCCACAAUGGACGAAAGUCUGAUGGAGCAACGCCGCGUGAGUGAUGAAGGGUUUCGGCUCGUAAAACUCUGUUGUUGGAGAAGAACAGGUGAUAGAGUAACUGUUAUCAUCUUGACGGUAUCCAACCAGAAAGCCACGGCUAACUACGUGCCAGCAGCCGCGGUAAUACGUAGGUGGCAAGCGUUGUCCGGAUUUAUUGGGCGUAAAGCGAGCGCAGGCGGUUUUUUAGGUCUGAUGUGAAAGCCUUCGGCUUAACCGGAGAAGGGCAUCGGAAACCGGGAGACUUGAGUGCAGAAGAGGACAGUGGAACUCCAUGUGUAGCGGUGAAAUGCGUAGAUAUAUGGAAGAACACCAGUGGCGAAGGCGGCUGUCUGGUCUGUAACUGACGCUGAGGCUCGAAAGCAUGGGUAGCGAACAGGAUUAGAUACCCUGGUAGUCCAUGCCGUAAACGAUGA